ACUCCUACGGGAGGCAGCAGUGGGGAAUCUUGCGCAAUGGGCGAAAGCCUGACGCAGCCAUGCCGCGUGAAUGAUGAAGGUCUUAGGAUUGUAAAAUUCUUUCACCGGGGACGAUAAUGACGGUACCCGGAGAAGAAGCCCCGGCUAACUUCGUGCCAGCAGCCGCGGUAAUACGAAGGGGGCUAGCGUUGCUCGGAAUUACUGGGGCGUAAAGGGAGCGUAGGCGGACAUUUAAGUCAGGGGUGAAAUCCCGGGGGCUCAACCUCGGAAUUGCCUUUUGAUACUGGAUGUCUUGAGUGUGAGAGAGGUAUGUGGAACUCCGAGUGUAGAGGUGAAAUUCGUAGAUAUUCGGAAGAACACCAGUGGCGAAGGCGACAUACUGGCUCAUUACUGACGCUGAGGCUCGAAAGCGUGGGGGAGCAAACAGGAUUAGAUACCCUGGUAGGAUAGCG
This 452-nucleotide ribosomal RNA is filed under the name uncultured bacterium. RNAcentral describes it as "bacterial SSU rRNA". It matches the Rfam family "Bacterial small subunit ribosomal RNA", at positions 335 to 799 of the family's 1533-position model. The record is from RNAcentral.